Molecule: ribosomal RNA, 825 nt
Filed under: Escherichia coli
Lineage: Bacteria; Pseudomonadati; Pseudomonadota; Gammaproteobacteria; Enterobacterales; Enterobacteriaceae
Description: partial 23S ribosomal RNA
Rfam family: Bacterial large subunit ribosomal RNA
Source: RNAcentral
AUUGAGCCUUGAUGUGUAGGAUAGGUGGGAGGCUUUGAAGUGUGGACGCCAGUCUGCAUGGAGCCGACCUUGAAAUACCACCCUUUAAUGUUUGAUGUUCUAACGUUGACCCGUGAUCCGGGUUGCGGACAGUGUCUGGUGGGUAGUUUGACUGGGGCGGUCUCCUCCUAAAGAGUAACGGAGGAGCACGAAGGUUGGCUAAUCCUGGUCGGACAUCAGGAGGUUAGUGCAAUGGCAUAAGCCAGCUUGACUGCGAGCGUGACGGCGCGAGCAGGUGCGAAAGCAGGUCAUAGUGAUCCGGUGGUUCUGAAUGGAAGGGCCAUCGCUCAACGGAUAAAAGGUACUCCGGGGAUAACAGGCUGAUACCGCCCAAGAGUUCAUAUCGACGGCGGUGUUUGGCACCUCGAUGUCGGCUCAUCACAUCCUGGGGCUGAAGUAGGUCCCAAGGGUAUGGCUGUUCGCCAUUUAAAGUGGUACGCGAGCUGGGUUUAGAACGUCGUGAGACAGUUCGGUCCCUAUCUGCCGUGGGCGCUGGAGAACUGAGGGGGGCUGCUCCUAGUACGAGAGGACCGGAGUGGACGCAUCACUGGUGUUCGGGUUGUCAUGCCAAUGGCACUGCCCGGUAGCUAAAUGCGGAAGAGAUAAGUGCUGAAAGCAUCUAAGCACGAAACUUGCCCCGAGAUGAGUUCUCCCUGACUCCUUGAGAGUCCUGAAGGAACGUUGAAGACGACGACGUUGAUAGGCCGGGUGUGUAAGCGCAGCGAUGCGUUGAGCUAACCGGUACUAAUGAACCGUGAGGCUUAACCUUACAACGCCGAAGCUGUU